Molecule: long non-coding RNA, 110 nt
Organism: Herpailurus yagouaroundi (jaguarundi)
Lineage: Eukaryota; Metazoa; Chordata; Mammalia; Carnivora; Felidae
Exons: 4
Source: RefSeq, a predicted model, not a curated record
AUUUAUUCCUGAGCUAUAGGACAGGUUCAAUAUUUGCAAUUCAAUCAAUGUGAUAUAUCACCUUAAUAGAAGAAAGGGUAAGAACCAUAUGAUUCUCUCAAUAGAUGCAG